Triticum urartu is the source of this 2307-nucleotide non-coding RNA. Lineage: Eukaryota; Viridiplantae; Streptophyta; Magnoliopsida; Poales; Poaceae. The record is from RefSeq and is a predicted model, not a curated record.
CCCAGCCGAACCGAUAUGACAGAGAAAAAAAACAGGGCCGCACUCACCCACUCCUUCCCUAACCUCCAGAUUCCCUCCCAUCCAUUGCGCCGCCGGCCUCUCUCUUCGUUCUUCCGCCGCGCCGCCAGCCUCCGUCCCCAUGCUUCCACCGCGGCAACGGCCUCCCACCCCGUGCUUUCGCCGCAGCGCCACCUCCCUCCCCGUGCUUCCACCCCGCGCUGGGCUCCCUUACCCUGCUUCCACCCCCUCGCCGGCCUCCCUCCCCCUACUUCCACCCCGGCCACGACCAACCUCCCCUGCUUCCACUCCGGGGAUGGCCUCUCUCCCCUGCUUCCGGCGGCCCGCCCCUCCUCUAUGCGCUAUCCUCCACCAUCGUCGUUGCCAAAGCAGAUCCCGCCACUGUUUGCCAGGACCUCGUCGAUGAUCUGUCGUGAGGCCCAGCGCCCCAUCGUCCGACGCGCCUAGCUAGCCCGCUCCCGCCGGCCCUCUGCCCUCCCUCACCACGCGACCUGCGUGCUUCCCCCUACGACCACUGCAUGCCGCACCCGCGAGGAAACCAGCCACCCAUCGCUCCGGUCGCCCGUGCCAAAUCCAGAUGCAGUUCAGGGAGUCUUCCUGCUGCAGAUUGGACACCCUGCACCCAAUCUCCGACACUGUAACCCAUGUACGCCUCGGCGCUGCUGCUCGCGGCCAGGAUCUGGCGGCCAGCAUCCCCAUCGCCUCCAUGUUGCGCGAGCACCGGUGGGUGCAGGCGGCUGUCUUGUCAUCGCAGGUAGAGGAGAACUCGGCCUACAGUUGGAUGGCACACCCACCAGCGACGGAGAGCCACCUCCCGCCGCCGGCCGGCCAUCCCCGAGUCGUCUGUGGCUCUCGCCCUAGCUUUGGAUCCAGCGAGCACCUUAGGGGCGCGCCGGCGAUGCAGGCCACGUACCUCUCCCCAAUCUCUGCAACGAGAAGCCACCGACUGCGGACGGCGAGCUCCUGGAUCCUGCUGAUCUCGCUGUCCCCAACCCACAUGCGUGGCACGGACAUCGUUUCCUAUGACAGUUUCCGACACCCUGUGGUGUUGUUACCGUCAGCUGCACCCUGUGGUAUUUGGUUUAAAUUACAGGAUUUUGCAAUUCAUGGUGUCGACGCAGAUUUUCUACCCUAUGAUGAUGAUGGGGACUUUGAUGAGGCAAUUGAUCUUGAUGAUGAUGAGGGUGAGCCAAAUCCUGACGAAUUCCAGUCUCAUGAUGCACUUAGUGGCUGGUCUUCUCGUACCAAGGGUGUUGCAAGAUAUCUCAAGACUUUAUUCGAUGAAGAGUCUGGUCGGGGGAGAAAGAAUGUUGUCAUUGAUCAUCUGGUAAAUGGAAAGUCUCGGAAAGAAGCCUCAAGGAUGUUCUUCGAGACCUUGGUCCUUUCGACGAAGGACUACAUUCAGGUGGAGCAACCAAUUCCCUUUGGUUUAAUAAACGUGAAGCCAGUAUCCAAGCUCCUGAAGACAGAUUUCUAGACCAAGACCAAGACCGCCUAGCAAAAGUGGCAUGAUAUACAUACAUGAGCUUAAGCUCGACGACCCACGCGCCACCAGAGGAGGAGGGAACCGAGGUCGGCGCCCCUGCCAAUCUCCACAGCCUCCAGCGACCAACCCCAUCUCCUGCCCCCUGCAACUGGUCCUGCCAGUACGCCGCGUCCGCCGCCGGUGAAUGCCCUCCGCAAGGACUGCGCCUAGCCCCUCUGCUCCGGCGCUCCUCGGCCGUCCCUGGCCCUCUGCCUGGUCGCCAGGGACGUGCUGCUCCGCGCCUGCUCCAGCCGGGGGCCGCCGCCCGCCGCGCCGGCUCUGGCCCUUUGCUCCGACCAAUCCCGGUGCUGCUCGCCUGCUCGGCCGAACUCUGUCGCCCAAGACUUGCUGUCAACAAACUGCAAGCAGGCUGGGACAAGGGACAAUUGGCUUCUUCAAGAAGGUAGAAGACGCCGUCCACCCUGUGUCACCGUCGCCAGAAGGUAGAAGACGCCGUCCACUCCUGUUCAGCCACUGCACCAUCGUCCAGCACCUCAAGGCCGACAUCGCCUGGAGCUCCUGUUCAAGAUUUCAGAUCCAGAGAUGAGUACUGAAACUACUUGAUGCUAAGAUUCAGACUGAAGUUACUGUCAAAACUGUCAAUUUUCUCCUUGAUGUGAGCAUUUAUAGUUUGAUCCAGAGAUUCAGCCAAAUUGUCCAUUUAACAGAAGUUAGGUUCAUAACUGACCCCUAGCUAUCAAAAUUUAGUUAAUCAAACUGUAACAAAUUGUCCAUUUAACAAAACUUAUGUUCAUACCUGAUCA